Long non-coding RNA from Camellia sinensis, 1280 nucleotides. RefSeq lists it as uncharacterized. The record is from RefSeq and is a predicted model, not a curated record. Lineage: Eukaryota; Viridiplantae; Streptophyta; Magnoliopsida; Ericales; Theaceae.
AAAAAGAGGAAUUAUACAUCAACUGUUUGGCUUCUGACCCAUACGGCGACGCCCUGUUUCAACCACAACAAUGGCGUCUCUCACCCCUGGCAUCCUCUCCAAACUUCUUCAAAAUCUCAACAACACUGUCGCCGGAGGGUAUUGAGAAGAAAGUGGGUGUAAAAGAAAAGAUUGAGGGUUCAAAGAGUCUUUAAUCUUCGGAGCCAUUGAUUAGCCCCCAAUCACAUUGUGGAUAGAAUACAAAACCUGAUUUGGGGGUUUUUGAGAAGGUCUCUAUAAAAAAAAAGAAGAUUUUAUGGAUGGGUUUAUUGAGUUUAAUAUCGUGAAGAGAUAGGUUACGAUAGGUUAGAGAGAGAACGUCCUCCUUCGUUGCAGAAGUAGCAAUCUUCGAGAGUCACAGCAACAAUGGCCGCAAUGGUUGCUUUUCGGAGCUCCUUCACUUCUUUUUCUCUCCUCAAAUUCCUUCUUGGGCCAAUGCAUCUAUAGUUCAAUGUCUUCUCUCAUUGUCUCUGUUUUGUUUCGCGUUUUUUGAUUUUGGGGCGAAACAUCUCGAAAUCGCCAUAUACAUUUCAAAUUUAAGCUGUUUCAUUUCAUUAUCUCAUCUUUGAAGUCUGGAAGAUCUUCAUAUCUGAUGGAUGUUAUUGUGGGUCUACUUUAUCCUGUAAUUUCUUUGCAGGUACAUGAUCUCCUCAAAUAUAGGUGAGGUUGCCUCAAUAUUUUUAAUAGCGGCAUUAGAGGUCCCCAGAAGGCCUAAUCCCUGUCCAACCCUUGUGGGUCAACCUUGUCACAAAUGGACCUCCUGCGACAACCCUUGGAUUCAAUCCACCAAAUAAGGACAUCAUGAAGAAACCCCCUCGUCGAAGUGAUGACCUGCUCAUCAAUCCUUGGACUUUAUUCUACUAUCUGGUAAAAAGUUUGGAAAAGAGGUAACUUCAUUAGAGACAAGAAAUGCAACAAGGUUAGUUGCUCCAACUAUUGCUGCGGGUUUAGGUGCCUUAACACAUACAUUGGGCACCCUCGUCCUUGUGAUAGCAGAAAGUGGAUUUGCUACAGCGACAACUGCAACUGCAACUGCUACUGCUAUAAGAACUAUUGUUGGUAGUUUUAGAUAAUCUAUUAGUAAUUGUCAAUAUGUUUAGAAAGUUAGAUAUGCAUAGUUUUGGAUGGUUUAUACUUCUUGUACAAUUUAGAACUUAAAGAUAUAGUUUUCGAAUAUUUGGAAUGUAUAAACAAUUGUUGACUGCUUAUAAUUUAUGGAUAUAGUUUCUUUUUGAUGUUUC